CCUACGGGCGGCAGCAGUGAGGAAUAUUGGUCAAUGGGCGGAAGCCUGAACCAGCCAAGUAGCGUGCAGGAUGACGGCCCUACGGGUUGUAAACUGCUUUUAUACGGGAAUAACGCGCCUUACGUGUAGGGCUUUGCAUGUACCGUAUGAAUAAGGACCGGCUAAUUCCGUGCCAGCAGCCGCGGUAAUACGGAAGGUCCGGGCGUUAUCCGGAUUUAUUGGGUUUAAAGGGAGCGUAGGCCGCAUGUCAAGCGUGCUGUGAAAUGUCCGGGCUCAACCCGGGCCUUGCAGCGCGAACUGGGUGGCUUGAGGCCGCGGAGAGCAGGCGGAAUUCGGGGUGAAGCGGGGAAAUGCUUAGAGAUGAGGA
This 367-nucleotide ribosomal RNA is filed under the name uncultured bacterium. RNAcentral's name for it is "partial 16S ribosomal RNA". It matches the Rfam family "Bacterial small subunit ribosomal RNA", at positions 338 to 705 of the family's 1533-position model. The record is from RNAcentral.